GGUUAAGCGACUAAGCGUACACGGUGGAUGCCCUGGCAGUCAGAGGCGAUGAAGGACGUGCUAAUCUGCGAUAAGCGUCGGUAAGGUGAUAUGAACCGUUAUAACCGGCGAUUUCCGAAUGGGGAAACCCAGUGUGUUUCGACACACUAUCAUUAACUGAAUCCAUAGGUUAAUGAGGCGAACCGGGGGAACUGAAACAUCUAAGUACCCCGAGGAAAAGAAAUCAACCGAGAUUCUCCCAGUAGCGGCGAGCGAACGGGGAGCAGCCCAGAGCCUGAAUCAGUGUGUGUGUUAGUGGAAGCGUCUGGAAAGGCGCGCGAUACAGGGUGACAGCCCCGUACACAAAAAUGCACAUGCUGUGAGCUCGAUGAGUAGGGCGGGACACGUGGUAUCCUGUCUGAAUAUGGGGGGACCAUCCUCCAAGGCUAAAUACUCCUGACUGACCGAUAGUGAACCAGUACCGUGAGGGAAAGGCGAAAAGAACCCCGGCGAGGGGAGUGAAAAAGAACCUGAAACCGUGUACGUACAAGCAGUGGGAGCACGCUUAGGCGUGUGACUGCGUACCUUUUGUAUAAUGGGUCAGCGACUUAUAUUCUGUAGCAAGGUUAACCGAAUAGGGGAGCCGAAGGGAAACCGAGUCUUAACUGGGCGUUAAGUUGCAGGGUAUAGACCCGAAACCCGGUGAUCUAGCCAUGGGCAGGUUGAAGGUUGGGUAACACUAACUGGAGGACCGAACCGACUAAUGUUGAAAAAUUAGCGGAUGACUUGUGGCUGGGGGUGAAAGGCCAAUCAAACCGGGAGAUAGCUGGUUCUCCCCGAAAGCUAUUUAGGUAGCGCCUCGUGAAUUCAUCUCCGGGGGUAGAGCACUGUUUCGGCAAGGGGGUCAUCCCGACUUACCAACCCGAUGCAAACUGCGAAUACCGGAGAAUGUUAUCACGGGAGACACACGGCGGGUGCUAACGUCCGUCGUGAAGAGGGAAACAACCCAGACCGCCAGCUAAGGUCCCAAAGUCAUGGUUAAGUGGGAAACGAUGUGGGAAGGCCCAGACAGCCAGGAUGUUGGCUUAGAAGCAGCCAUCAUUUAAAGAAAGCGUAAUAGCUCACUGGUCGAGUCGGCCUGCGCGGAAGAUGUAACGGGGCUAAACCAUGCACCGAAGCUGCGGCAGCGACACUAUGUGUUGUUGGGUAGGGGAGCGUUCUGUAAGCCUGUGAAGGUGUGCUGUGAGGCAUGCUGGAGGUAUCAGAAGUGCGAAUGCUGACAUAAGUAACGAUAAAGCGGGUGAAAAGCCCGCUCGCCGGAAGACCAAGGGUUCCUGUCCAACGUUAAUCGGGGCAGGGUGAGUCGACCCCUAAGGCGAGGCCGAAAGGCGUAGUCGAUGGGAAACAGGUUAAUAUUCCUGUACUUGGUGUUACUGCGAAGGGGGACGGAGAAGGCUAUGUUGGCCGGGCGACGGUUGUCCCGGUUUAAGCGUGUAGGCUGGUUUUCCAGGCAAAUCCGGAAAAUCAAGGCUGAGGCGUGAUGACGAGGCACUACGGUGCUGAAGCAACAAAUGCCCUGCUUCCAGGAAAAGCCUCUAAGCAUCAGGUAACAUCAAAUCGUACCCCAAACCGACACAGGUGGUCAGGUAGAGAAUACCAAGGCGCUUGAGAGAACUCGGGUGAAGGAACUAGGCAAAAUGGUGCCGUAACUUCGGGAGAAGGCACGCUGAUAUGUAGGUGAAGUCCCUCGCGGAUGGAGCUGAAAUCAGUCGAAGAUACCAGCUGGCUGCAACUGUUUAUUAAAAACACAGCACUGUGCAAACACGAAAGUGGACGUAUACGGUGUGACGCCUGCCCGGUGCCGGAAGGUUAAUUGAUGGGGUUAGCCGCAAGGCGAAGCUCUUGAUCGAAGCCCCGGUAAACGGCGGCCGUAACUAUAACGGUCCUAAGGUAGCGAAAUUCCUUGUCGGGUAAGUUCCGACCUGCACGAAUGGCGUAAUGAUGGCCAGGCUGUCUCCACCCGAGACUCAGUGAAAUUGAACUCGCUGUGAAGAUGCAGUGUACCCGCGGCAAGACGGAAAGACCCCGUGAACCUUUACUAUAGCUUGACACUGAACAUUGAGCCUUGAUGUGUAGGAUAGGUGGGAGGCUUUGAAGUGUGGACGCCAGUCUGCAUGGAGCCGACCUUGAAAUACCACCCUUUAAUGUUUGAUGUUCUAACGUUGACCCGUAAUCCGGGUUGCGGACAGUGUCUGGUGGGUAGUUUGACUGGGGCGGUCUCCUCCUAAAGAGUAACGGAGGAGCACGAAGGUUGGCUAAUCCUGGUCGGACAUCAGGAGGUUAGUGCAAUGGCAUAAGCCAGCUUGACUGCGAGCGUGACGGCGCGAGCAGGUGCGAAAGCAGGUCAUAGUGAUCCGGUGGUUCUGAAUGGAAGGGCCAUCGCUCAACGGAUAAAAGGUACUCCGGGGAUAACAGGCUGAUACCGCCCAAGAGUUCAUAUCGACGGCGGUGUUUGGCACCUCGAUGUCGGCUCAUCACAUCCUGGGGCUGAAGUAGGUCCCAAGGGUAUGGCUGUUCGCCAUUUAAAGUGGUACGCGAGCUGGGUUUAGAACGUCGUGAGACAGUUCGGUCCCUAUCUGCCGUGGGCGCUGGAGAACUGAGGGGGGCUGCUCCUAGUACGAGAGGACCGGAGUGGACGCAUCACUGGUGUUCGGGUUGUCAUGCCAAUGGCACUGCCCGGUAGCUAAAUGCGGAAGAGAUAAGUGCUGAAAGCAUCUAAGCACGAAACUUGCCCCGAGAUGAGUUCUCCCUGACUCCUUGAGAGUCCUGAAGGAACGUUGAAGACGACGACGUUGAUAGGCCGGGUGUGUAAGCGCAGCGAUGCGUUGAGCUAACCGGUACUAAUGAACCGUGAGGCUUAACCUU
Molecule: ribosomal RNA, 2904 nt
Filed under: Escherichia coli
Lineage: Bacteria; Pseudomonadati; Pseudomonadota; Gammaproteobacteria; Enterobacterales; Enterobacteriaceae
Description: 23S ribosomal RNA
Rfam family: Bacterial large subunit ribosomal RNA
Source: RNAcentral